Molecule: transfer RNA, 75 nt
Filed under: bacterium
Lineage: Bacteria
Also listed under: 1 other name
Description: tRNA-Glu
Rfam family: tRNA
About the family: Transfer RNA (tRNA) molecules are approximately 80 nucleotides in length.
Source: RNAcentral
GGCCUCAUCGUCUAACGGUUAGGAUACCAGGUUUUCAUCCUGGCGAUCGGGGUUCGAUUCCCCGUGAGGCUACCA